RNAcentral lists this ribosomal RNA (266 nucleotides) under uncultured Staphylococcus sp. Its description in RNAcentral is "partial 16S ribosomal RNA". It matches the Rfam family "Bacterial small subunit ribosomal RNA", at positions 96 to 355 of the family's 1533-position model. Lineage: Bacteria; Bacillati; Bacillota; Bacilli; Caryophanales; Staphylococcaceae. The record is from RNAcentral.
CGGCGGACGGGUGAGUAACACGUGGAUAACCUACCUAUAAGACUGGGAUAACUUAGGGAAACCGGAGCUAAUACCGGAUAAUAUAUUGAACCGCAUGGUUCAAUGGUGAAAGACGGUUUUGCUGUCACUUAUAGAUGGAUCCGCGCCGCAUUAGCUAGUUGGUAAGGUAACGGCUUACCAAGGCAACGAUGCGUAGCCGACCUGAGAGGGUGAUCGGCCACACUGGAACUGAGACACGGUCCAGACUCCUACGGGAGGCAGCAGCU